RNAcentral lists this small nuclear RNA (105 nucleotides) under Octodon degus (degu). Lineage: Eukaryota; Metazoa; Chordata; Mammalia; Rodentia; Octodontidae. The record is from RNAcentral.
GUGCUCACUUCAGCAGCACAUACUAAAAUUGGAAUGAUACAGAGAAGAUCAGCAUGGCCCCUGUACAAGGAUAACACACAAAUUCGUGAAGCAUUCCAUGGUUUU